GGAGAGGUGCUCGAGUGGCUGAAGAGGCACGCCUGGAAAGCGUGUAUACCCGUGAGGGUAUCGAGGGUUCGAAUCCCUCUCUCUCCG
Molecule: transfer RNA, 87 nt
Filed under: Saprospiraceae bacterium
Lineage: Bacteria; Pseudomonadati; Bacteroidota; Saprospiria; Saprospirales; Saprospiraceae
Description: tRNA-Ser
Rfam family: tRNA
About the family: Transfer RNA (tRNA) molecules are approximately 80 nucleotides in length. Their secondary structure includes four short double-helical elements and three loops (D, anti-codon, and T loops). Further hydrogen bonds mediate the characteristic L-shaped molecular structure. tRNAs have two regions of fundamental functional importance: the anti-codon, which is responsible for specific mRNA codon recognition, and the 3' end, to which the tRNAs corresponding amino acid is attached (by aminoacyl-tRNA synthetases). tRNAs cope with the degeneracy of the genetic code in two manners: having more than one tRNA (with a specific anti-codon) for a particular amino acid; and 'wobble' base-pairing, i.e. permitting non-standard base-pairing at the 3rd anti-codon position.
Source: RNAcentral